Molecule: ribosomal RNA, 392 nt
Filed under: uncultured bacterium
Lineage: Bacteria
Description: partial 16S ribosomal RNA
Rfam family: Bacterial small subunit ribosomal RNA
Source: RNAcentral
AUACGGAGGAUGCGAGCGUUAUCCGGAUUUAUUGGGUUUAAAGGGAGCGUAGGCGGGAGCUUAAGUCAGCGGUUAAAUGGUGCGGCUCAACCGUGCCCUGCCGUUGAAACUGGGUUUCUUGAGAGUGCAAGAGGCGGAUGGAAUUCAUGGUGGAGGGGUGAAAUGCUUAGAUAUCAUGAAGAACUCCGAUUGCGAAGGCAGUCCGCUGGGGCACGUCUGACGCUGAUGCUCGAAGGUGCGGGAAUCAAACAGGAUUAGAUACCCUGGUAGUCCGCACGGUAAACGAUGAUUACCCGCUGUCGGCGGUAGACAGUCGGCGGCCAAGCGAAAGCGAUAAGUAAUCCACCUGGGGAGUACGCCGGCAACGGUGAAACUCAAAGGAAUUGACGGGG